GUAAUGAUUUCUUUUCCAGCAUGUUUUUCAGAUUAUUGAUUGAUCCCAAGAUCGUGUAAUAAUUUUUGUAGUUUCUCUUUUGCUUUGUGUCAGUAGCAAUUGCUACUUGUCACCAGCAUUGAGAAGGGAUCAAGAGGUUAGAGAAGCAGCACGUGGAUGUGAUAAGUGACCUGCAGGAAUACUAAUGAUAUAAUUGUGUGUGUGUGCAUGCGCGCAUACGUAUGCGUUGACUAAUCAACAUUCUAACAGGAAGCUAAAGAACUCACAAUAAAUCAUAUUAAACAGUUACAAGAUAUUAGACAGCUGCUUGAAUUUUUAUCCAAGACUUUUUUGAAUUAUAUUUUUUAAGUCUUUUUAACAAUUGAAGCUUUCUGCCUUUCUCAGUCACCCAAGUGUGUUCAAAUUCCUGGCUGGAGAUCUAAGAAGAGAGGAAGGAGCACAUUCAGAACUGGGGGUCACAGAAGAAACUUUAAGCCGAAAGGAGCCCUAGUGUGUGGAAUGGCACUUGCAGGAAGCAGCUGAAGAAAUUGUUUUUCCUGGAAAGUCAGCCAUAUGGUGCCACAGAGGUGGAAGGUAAGAAAGAAGUUAGCCAAACAAGAAUAUGACUUUUGUUUUAUGUAUGUAGCACUUUCACUUGCCUCAUGCGUAAAAGUCAUUCAGUUCAACAAAUAUUUAUUGAACCCUUACUAUGUGACACACAGUUCUAAGUACUAGAUGUUAUCAGUGAACAAAAC
Molecule: long non-coding RNA, 734 nt
Filed under: Equus asinus (donkey)
Lineage: Eukaryota; Metazoa; Chordata; Mammalia; Perissodactyla; Equidae
Description: lncRNA (ENSEASG00005027206.1)
Source: RNAcentral